CCUACGGGUGGCAGCAGUGAGGAAUAUUGGUCAAUGGGCGCGAGCCUGAACCAGCCAAGUAGCGUGAAGGAUGACUGCCCUACGGGUUGUAAACUUCUUUUAUAAAGGAAUAAAGUGAGGCACGUGUGCCUUUUUGUAUGUACUUUAUGAAUAAGGAUCGGCUAACUCCGUGCCAGCAGCCGCGGUAAUACGGAGGAUCCGAGCGUUAUCCGGAUUUAUUGGGGUUAAAGGGUGCGUAGAUGGGUUGUUAAGUCAGCUGUGAAAUUUUGCGGCUCAACCGUAUAAUUGCGAUUGAUACUGGCAGUCUUGAGUACAGUUGAGGUAUGCGGAAUUCGUGGUGUAGCGGUGAAAUGCUUAGAUAUCACGAAGAACUCCGAUUGCGAAGGCAGCUUACUAACCUGCCACAGACAUUGAUGCUCGAAAGUGUGGGUAUCAAACAGGAUUAGAUACCCGAGUAGUC
This 460-nucleotide ribosomal RNA is filed under the name uncultured bacterium. RNAcentral's name for it is "partial 16S ribosomal RNA". It matches the Rfam family "Bacterial small subunit ribosomal RNA", at positions 338 to 795 of the family's 1533-position model. The record is from RNAcentral.